RNAcentral lists this ribosomal RNA (253 nucleotides) under uncultured bacterium. Its description in RNAcentral is "partial 16S ribosomal RNA". It matches the Rfam family "Bacterial small subunit ribosomal RNA", at positions 524 to 776 of the family's 1533-position model. The record is from RNAcentral.
GACGUAGGGGGCCAGCGUUGCUCGGAAUUACUGGGCGUAAAGGGUUCGUAGGCGGUGUGGCAAGUCGGGAGUGAAAUCUCUGGGCUUAACUCAGAGGCUGCUUCCGAAACUGCCGUGCUAGAGUGCGGGAGAGGCGAGUGGAAUUGCAGGUGUAGCGGUGAAAUGCGUAGAUAUCUGCAGGAACACCCGUGGCGAAGGCGGCUCGUUGGACCGCAACUGACGCUGAGGAACGAAAGCGUGGGGAGCAAACAGG